UACAGAGGAUGCAAGCAUUAAUCGGAAUUACUGGGCGUAAAGCGCGCGUAGACGGCUGUCUAAGUCGGGUGUGAAAGCCCCAAGCUCAACCUGGGAACUGCACUCGAUACUGAACGGCUAGAGUAUGAAAAAGGGAGGUAGAAUUCCACGUGUAGCAGUGAAAUGCGUAGAUAUGUGGAGGAAUACCGGUGGCGAAGGCGGCCUCCUGGUUCAAUACUGACGCUGAAGUGCGAAAGCGUGGGGAGCAAAC
This 250-nucleotide ribosomal RNA is filed under the name uncultured bacterium. RNAcentral's name for it is "partial 16S ribosomal RNA". It matches the Rfam family "Bacterial small subunit ribosomal RNA", at positions 524 to 773 of the family's 1533-position model. The record is from RNAcentral.